This 492-nucleotide ribosomal RNA is filed under the name uncultured bacterium. RNAcentral describes it as "partial 16S ribosomal RNA". It matches the Rfam family "Bacterial small subunit ribosomal RNA", at positions 29 to 507 of the family's 1533-position model. The record is from RNAcentral.
AGUGAACGCUGGCGGUAGGCCUAACACAUGCAAGUCGAACGGCAGCACAGUAAGAGCUUGCUCUUACGGGUGGCGAGUGGCGGACGGGUGAGGAAUACACCGGAAUCUACUUUUUCGCGGGGGAUAAUGAAGGGAAACCUACGCUAAUACCGCAUACGACCUACGGGAGAAAGCAGGGGAUCUUCGGACCUUGCGCGACUGAAUGAGCCGAUGUCGGAUUAGCUAGUUGGCGGGGUAAAGGCCCACCAAGGCGACGAUCCGUAGCUGGUCUGAGAGGAUGAUCAGCCACACUGGAACUGAGACACGGUCCAGACUCCUACGGGAGGCAGCAGUGGGGAAUAUUGGACAAUGGGCGCAAGCCUGAUCCAGCCAUACCGCGUGGGUGAAGAAGGCCUUCGGGUUGUAAAGCCCUUUUGUUGGGAAAGAAAAGCAGCAGGUUAAUACCCCGCUGUUCUGACGGUACCCAAAGAAUAAGCACCGGCUAACUUCGUG